UAGGGAGACCUAAUCCAUUUAGAAAUCGAAAACAAUGAAAAUUGUCAAUAGAAACUAAAUUGGUCUAACCUAGGUCGUUCGAGAUUGGUAGACAUCUUUCAAAGUAUUAUUCGGCUUCGUUCAAAACCAUAUAUAAUAAAUGGAAAAAGACAGCACCUAAUUGUCAAAGUUAGACUGCUGGAUGAAGUUCCAGCCAGAACCUUGAGAACUGCAUAAGAGAACAAGAAAAAGCAGGCAGACACAGACAUUUAGAUGGAUGUGGAAGCAAAAGAAAUUGU
RNAcentral lists this unclassified non-coding RNA (278 nucleotides) under uncultured Anabaena sp. Its description in RNAcentral is "partial 16S-23S ribosomal RNA intergenic spacer". The record is from RNAcentral. Lineage: Bacteria; Bacillati; Cyanobacteriota; Cyanophyceae; Nostocales; Nostocaceae.